AGGGCAACAGGAAGAAGGGGGGAGCAAGAUAACCUGUGUUCAGUGGAGAGCCUGAACUGUUGUUUGAUGAGACCUUGGGCCCUCUCGACCUUUCCUGAGGAUUGUGGGUGAUAGUGGAGCUUCCAGGAAAUAUUGAGAGCAUCCAGCACGAGCUCCACGACCCUGGAAGUGAAGGCUGGCCCAUUGUCCAUUUGUUAGGUCUGGGGCAGGCCAAAUCUAGGGAAGAUGUGGUCCAGGACUUGGGCCACCACAUCGGCUGUUUCCCUGGAGGUGGGGAAGGCUUCUAUCCAUCCUGUAAAGGUGUCGACCAGAGUUAGGAGAUAACGGAGUUUCUUUUGGGUGGGCAGGGCAUGUGAGUGAAAUCAGCCUAUCUGGUGCUGGGGCUGUCUUCAAGGGCAUCUGGAGAACCCCUGCAAAUCGGUCGUGGCACCUGUCUGGCAGGAGGAGUGAACCGUAAUUGGCUGGAACAAGGAGAUCUUGAGAGCUUCCCCUGUGAGUUCAGCCACUGCUGCUAGGGCUCUCAAGCAUGGCUGCUUCCCGACAGUGGGGGUGGGGUCCAGUUUUUUGAACAAAAAUGUGAUGACCCGGUUUGAAGGCUCAACCAGUUGGACCAGGACCUCGGAGGCCGUUCCUAACCUUUCAUCUGUAUAAAGGUGAUAAGGUGGAGAGGGGUUGGAAGAGCAAGGGUGGGGCCCUUAGAAAGGCAUCUCUCAGUAAAGAGAAGUGGGGCAGACCGUGGAUGGGUGGCUGAGGGCCCCCUUGGGAGUCUCUCUGGCUGCCUGGUAUAAGGACUUGGCCGUAAUGGCAAAGUUAGGGGUCUAGUGACGGAGUAAUCCCAUCAGGCCCAAAAAUGAGAGCCCAUCUGAACCACUGUGGUGGGGCUAUAAAUCCUGCAGGGCCUGGACUCCGUCAGAGGUGAGGGCCUUAGACCCCAGGCUGAAUUGAAAGCCCAGUGGGAGAGCAUAGCUGAAUCUUAAAUAGAGAAACAUAAUAUCCUAGAGAGCCACAGUAGUUGAGGAGCGAUGAGGUGGCCUGUUGGGACAGAGGCAGGGUGGAACAGCAGAUAAGGAGGUCUAUGUAUUGCAGGAGUGUGCUAGGACAGGGUCAAAGGUGGAGAAAUCCCGAGCCAGGGCUUGGCCAAAGAAAUGGGGGCUGUCCCGAAAACCCCAAGGGAGAACAGUCCAUGCUAGCUGUCUGAAGGACAGGGUGUCAGGGACCUCCAAGGUGAAGGCAAGGACCUCCCUUCUCCCUAUUGCUCUUACCCGCUUCCAGGUCACCCCACACCCUCCCACAGGCCUGAGCCCUUUUGAUCUCCUUCCUCCUCAAUCACCACCUCCCUGCCUAAAUUCCUCCACUGACUGAAUACCUUCCCUACCUCUUCCCUCUUAGUUUCCUUCUCCAUUCCCAGGCAGACAGGUAUCUCCCUGCCCCCACACCAACAGACCCAACUGCCUCAGAGCCUGCCCCAGUUUCCCCAGGGAACAGAGGACUCCUCAAACAACUAGCUUCUACGUCUGUUGAGCCCCGACGGACAGGACCCUAUGCUGUGAUCCUCACUACUCCUUCAGAUGCCAAGCUCCUGGGUCAUCCAUGCUGGUAUCAUCUCUCCAGGCUCAAGCGAGUGCCUACUCAGAUACUUGAUGUCCCUCCACCCUCCAGUUUCCCAAGAUGUCCCAGGGAAGGGCCUAUCUACUCGUCUGCCCUGAGCACUCAUUCAACUUUGUCAGUACAACUAGGGCAGGAAGCAGCCAGGAAUGAACUGGCGUCCCUAUACCCAAGGAGUCUGGGAUGUUCAGGUGGAAAUUCAUACAAUGAGUCUUCUGGAGUGUUCUGGUGGAAGCGCCACCUCAAUCCUCCUCUCCCACCUCUCUCCCCCCCAAACCAUAUUCUGAAAGCCCAGGAAACACAAACACAAUUCCUACUCCAGAGAUGCUCAAGACCACUCCUACAAGGUAUUUAAACUGCCCUCCAGAAGACAAGGUUUUUUGUUUGUUUUUUCCUCUCUCAUCCCUGUCUCCUCUCUGGAGGGCUGGCAAAUCAUCUGGAAGCAUUUUACUCAUUAAACCCAGGCCUUUUCUGAUUCA
Non-coding RNA from Myodes glareolus (Bank vole), 2084 nucleotides. The record is from RefSeq and is a predicted model, not a curated record. Lineage: Eukaryota; Metazoa; Chordata; Mammalia; Rodentia; Cricetidae.